GGUUAAGUCCCGCAACGAGCGCAACCCUUGAUCUUAGUUGCCAGCAUUCAGUUGGGCACUCUAAGAUGACUGCCGGUGACAAACCGGAGGAAGGUGGGGAUGACGUCAAAUCAUCAUGCCCCUUAUGACCUGGGCUACACACGUGCUACAAUGGACGGUACAAAGGGCAGCAAGACCGCGAGGUUUAGCCAAUCCCAUAAAACCGUUCUCAGUUCGGAUUGUAGGCUGCAACUCGCCUACAUGAAGCUGGAAUCGCUAGUAAUCGCGGAUCAGCAUGCCGCGGUGAAUACGUUCCCGGGCCUUGUACACACCGCCCGUCGCACCACGAGAGUUUGUAACACCCGAAGUCGGUGAGGUAACCUUUUGGAGCCAGCCGCCUAAGGUGGGACAGAUGAUUGGGGUGAAGUCGUAACAAGGUAACCGUA
This 425-nucleotide ribosomal RNA is filed under the name uncultured Bacillota bacterium. RNAcentral describes it as "bacterial SSU rRNA". It matches the Rfam family "Bacterial small subunit ribosomal RNA", at positions 1078 to 1504 of the family's 1533-position model. The record is from RNAcentral. Lineage: Bacteria; Bacillati; Bacillota.